CCUACGGGAGGCUGCAGUGGGGAAUAUUGGACAAUGGGGGCAACCCUGAUCCAGCCAUGCCGCGUGUGUGAAGAAGGCCCUCGGGUUGUAAAGCACUUUCAGUGAGGAAGAACGCCUGGUGGUUAAUACCCAUCAGGAAAGACAUCACUCACAGAAGAAGCACCGGCUAACUCCGUGCCAGCAGCCGCGGUAAUACGGAGGGUGCGAGCGUUAAUCGGAAUUACUGGGCGUAAAGCGCGCGUAGGUGGCUUGAUAAGCCGGUUGUGAAAGCCCCGGGCUCAACCUGGGAACGGCAUCCGGAACUGUCAAGCUAGAGUGCAGGAGAGGAAGGUAGAAUUCCCGGUGUAGCGGUGAAAUGCGUAGAGAUCGUGAGGAAUACCAGUGGCGAAGGCGGCCUUCUGGACUGACACUGACACUGAGGUGCGAAAGCGUGGGUAGCAAACAGGAUUAGAUACCCUUGUAGUC
Molecule: ribosomal RNA, 465 nt
Filed under: Vreelandella stevensii
Lineage: Bacteria; Pseudomonadati; Pseudomonadota; Gammaproteobacteria; Oceanospirillales; Halomonadaceae
Description: partial 16S ribosomal RNA
Rfam family: Bacterial small subunit ribosomal RNA
Source: RNAcentral